This 495-nucleotide ribosomal RNA is filed under the name uncultured bacterium. RNAcentral describes it as "bacterial SSU rRNA". It matches the Rfam family "Bacterial small subunit ribosomal RNA", at positions 29 to 517 of the family's 1533-position model. The record is from RNAcentral.
AACGAACGCUGGCGGCGCGCCUAAUACAUGCAAGUCGAGCGAGAAGGUGUAGCAAUACACUUGUAAAGCGGCGAACGGGUGAGGAAUACAUGGGUAAUCUACCAUCGAGUGGGGAAUAACCAACCGAAAGGUUGGCUAAUACCGCGUACGCCUCCGAGUCUUCGGGUUCGGAGGGAAAGCUGCACUGUGAGUGUAGCGCUCUUUGAUGAGCUCAUGUCCUAUCAGCUUGUUGGUAGGGUAACGGCCUACCAAGGCUUUGACGGGUAGCUGGUCUGAGAGGACGAUCAGCCACACUGGCACUGCGACACGGGCCAGACUCCUACGGGAGGCAGCAGUAAGGAAUAUUGCGCAAUGGGCGAAAGCCUGACGCAGCGACGCCGCGUGGGGGAUGAAGGUCUUCGGAUUGUAAACCCCUUUCGGGAGGGAAGAUGGAACGAGCAAUCGUUCGGACGGUACCUCCAGAAGCAGCCACGGCCAACUUCGUGCCAGCAGCCG